This 1474-nucleotide ribosomal RNA is filed under the name uncultured bacterium. Its description in RNAcentral is "partial 16S ribosomal RNA". It matches the Rfam family "Bacterial small subunit ribosomal RNA". The record is from RNAcentral.
GUUUGAUCCUGGCUCAGAAUGAACACUGGCGGCGUGCCUGAUACAUGUAAGUCGAACGGGCUGCUGUAACGCGGAGGCCUUGGGAGGGGUAGCGGAUGAGAAAUCGUUCAAAGCCCAAGAAGGGGAGGAAGCGUGAAAAGCGGCCAGUGGACGAACGGGUGAGUAACACGUAGGCGAUCCACCUUACAGUGGGGAACAACUACUCGAAAGGGCAGCUAAUACCGCAUAAGGUCUAGCGGGAGCUAGAAGAAAGGGACGCGAGUCCCGCUGAAAGAGGAGCCUGCGUCUGAUUAGCUAGUUGGCGGGGUAACGGCUCACCAAGGCGACGAUCAGUAGCCGACCUGAGAGGGUGAUCGGCCACACUGGAACUGAGAAACGGUCCAGACUCCUACGGGAGGCAGCAGUGGGGAAUAUUGGGCAAUGGGCGAAAGCCUGACCCAGCAACGCCGCGUGAAGGAAGAAGGUUUUCGGAUCGUAAACCUCUGUCCUUGGUGAAGAGUAAAAGACGGUAGCCAAGGAGGAAGCCCCGGCUAACUACGUGCCAGCAGCCGCGGUAAUACGUAGGGGGCGAGCGUUGUCCGGAAUGAUUGGGCGUAAAGGGCGCGUAGGCGGCCUGUUAAGUCCGGAGUGAAAUUCCUGCUUUCAAGGUAGGAAGUGCUUUGGAAACUGGCGGGCUGGAGUGCAGGAGAGGUUAGCGGAAUUCCCGGUGUAGCGGUGAAAUGCGUAGAGAUCGGGAGGAACACCAGUGGCGAAGGCGGCUAACUGGACUGUAACUGACGCUGAGACGCGAAAGCGUGGGGAGCAAACAGGAUUAGAUACCCUGGUAGUCCACGCGGUAAACGAUGCACACUAGGUGCCGGGGCGGACGCUUCGGUGCCGGAGCCAACGUGGUAAGUGUGCCGCCUGGGGAGUAUGCUCGCAAGGGUGAAACUCAAAGGAAUUGACGGGGGCCCGCACAAGCGGUGGAGCAUGUGGUUUAAUUCGAUGGUACGCGAGGAACCUUACCUGGGCUUGACAUAUAGAGGAAUGUGACAGAGAUGUCACAGCCGGGCAACCGGCCUUUAUACAGGUGCUGCAUAGCUGUCGUCAGCUCGUCCCGUGAGGUGUUCGGGUUAAGUCCCGCAACGAGCGCAACCCCUAUCGUCAGUUACCAACAGGUUAUGCUGGGGACUCGUGGCGAAACUGCGCGGUGACAAACCGGAGGAAGGUGGGGAUGACGUCAAGUCCUCAUGGCCCUUAUGUCCAGGGCUACACACGUGCUACAAUGGUCGUUACAGAGUGAAGCGAAGCCGCGAGGUGGAGCAAAUVGCAGAAAAACGAUCUUAGUUCGGAUUGGAGUCUGAAACCCGACUCCAUGAAGGUGGAAUCGCUAGUAAUCGCGCAUCAGCAUAGCDKAUADACGUCCGGGCUUGUACACACCGCCCGUCACACCAUCCGAGUGGNGUACCCGAAGCCGUUACUCUAACCAGCAAUG